AUUGAACGCUGGCGGCAUGCUUUACACAUGCAAGUCGAGCGGCAGCGCGGGGGCAACCCUGGCGGCGAGCGGCGAACGGGUGAGUAAUGCAUCGGAACGUAUCCUCGAGUGGGGGAUAACCCAGCGAAAGUUGGGCUAAUACCGCAUGAGCUCUGAGGAGGAAAGCGGGGGACCUGCGAGGGCCUCGCGCUGGAGGAGCGGCCGAUGUCCGAUUAGCUAGUUGGUGGGGUAAAGGCUUACCAAGGCGACGAUCGGUAGCUGGUCUGAGAGGAUGAUCAGCCACACUGGGACUGAGACACGGCCCAGACUCCUACGGGAGGCAGCAGUGGGGAAUUUUGGACAAUGGGGGCAACCCCGAUCCAGCCAUGCCGCGUGAGUGAAGAAGGCCUUCGGGUUGUAAAGCUCUUUCGGACGGAACGAAAUGGGCGGGACUAAUACUCCUGUCUGAUGACGGUACCGUAAGAAGAAGCACCGGCUAACUACGUG
Molecule: ribosomal RNA, 486 nt
Filed under: uncultured bacterium
Lineage: Bacteria
Description: partial 16S ribosomal RNA
Rfam family: Bacterial small subunit ribosomal RNA
Source: RNAcentral